RNAcentral lists this ribosomal RNA (320 nucleotides) under uncultured eukaryote. RNAcentral describes it as "partial 18S ribosomal RNA". It matches the Rfam family "Eukaryotic small subunit ribosomal RNA", at positions 1470 to 1796 of the family's 1831-position model. The record is from RNAcentral.
CCCCUAGAUGUUCUGGGCCGCACGCGCGCUACACUGAACAGUUCAACAAGUCUUAGCCUUGGCCGAUAGGUCUGGGUAAUCUUUGAACGCUGUUCGUGAUUGGGAUAGACCUUUGCAAUUAUGGGUCUUCAACGAGGAAUUCCUAGUAAACGCAAGUCAUCAGCUUGCAUUGAUUACGUCCCUGCCCUUUGUACACACCGCCCGUCGCACCUACCGAUUGAAUGGUCCGGUGAAAUCUCGGGACGGCGGCUUGGUCGCUUGCGUCCGACUGCUGAAACUUGAUUAAACCAUNUNAUUUAGNGGAAGGUGAANUCGUANCA